This 644-nucleotide unclassified non-coding RNA is filed under the name Hevea brasiliensis (rubber tree). Lineage: Eukaryota; Viridiplantae; Streptophyta; Magnoliopsida; Malpighiales; Euphorbiaceae. The record is from RNAcentral.
AAUUCUUACCCGGCCACUCCAGCCACCCUUUAGGAUCAAUAUGACAUCCAAUGCAAGACUCCAUGUAUACCGUCCUCGAGUAUUUCCUCCACGGCCUCCCAAGAUAUGUCAAGGUCGCUCCAAGAUCAUGCGCCGCCAUAAUCCGACAAUUCUGAAUUGAUGUCCCCGUGUUUUGAUUCGGAUCAGUCCUCCCUUGUGCUGUCACUACGUCCUGCUGGCCGUGCAACGGUUUUCUUGCAGUGAGGAUGCAGUUUUGUAAGACAACAGCUGCGUUGCCGAAGAUGAAGUCGAUGGUGCCGGAGACGUUGCAGUCACGGUAGAAUUGUCGUAGGGAGUGGGGGUAAAGGGUGUCUUGGUACGCCUCGAUGUUGCAGCGGUUGAUGACGGAACGGUCGGCCCCGACACGGAGAGCCACAGCUUGAUGUCUCACUGCUCCGGCUGUGUUUUGGAUUGUAAGGUCUUGAAGGAUGAAGUCAGCACCCACUGCAGCCAUGGUAGCGGACUGGAAGGUGGAGUUAGCAUCCUCGUAGUUGAGGUUUCCGGUGAUCACUGUCGACGUCGUACCAUCGCCCACCACCAUUAUGUUUCUUUUAUUCUUCCCUAUUCUCACAGUCUCGUUGUACACCCCCUUCUUCACAUAAAUC